GGGAAUGUGGCUUAUGGUAGAGUGCUUGCCUAGCAUGCAGGAAGCCCUAGGUUUGAUUCCUCAGUACCA
This 69-nucleotide transfer RNA is filed under the name Dipodomys ordii (Ord's kangaroo rat). It matches the Rfam family "tRNA". From Rfam's summary of the family: Transfer RNA (tRNA) molecules are approximately 80 nucleotides in length. Lineage: Eukaryota; Metazoa; Chordata; Mammalia; Rodentia; Heteromyidae. The record is from Rfam by way of RNAcentral.